GUGAAUCAUCGAAUUUUUGAACGCAUAUUGCACUCUCUGGUAUUCCGGAGAGUAUGCCUGUUUGAGGGUAAUUAAAAAGAAUCUUUAACCAAUUUUUUUUGGUCAAAGGAAAUGAGCUCUCCGCGUUUAUAGCGGUAGCUUGAAAUAAAUGGUCAAGUCUCAUUUUAGUCGAGACGCGUAAUAAUAUUAUUUCGCGAAAUCUUCAUUAUGUGACUAUCAAGUUUUGAUGCACCCCACUCCCCUUCCCCCCCCCCCCAUCCCCA
Molecule: unclassified non-coding RNA, 263 nt
Filed under: Ambisporaceae sp.
Lineage: Eukaryota; Fungi; Glomeromycota; Glomeromycetes; Archaeosporales; Ambisporaceae
Description: partial contains 5.8S ribosomal RNA and internal transcribed spacer 2
Rfam family: 5.8S ribosomal RNA (bases 1-71)
Source: RNAcentral